UGGCUCAGUGGUAGAGUGCUUGUCUUGCAUGCAUGAGGCCCUGAGUUCAAUUCCUCAG
This 58-nucleotide transfer RNA is filed under the name Dipodomys ordii (Ord's kangaroo rat). It matches the Rfam family "tRNA", at positions 8 to 63 of the family's 71-position model. From Rfam's summary of the family: Transfer RNA (tRNA) molecules are approximately 80 nucleotides in length. Their secondary structure includes four short double-helical elements and three loops (D, anti-codon, and T loops). Lineage: Eukaryota; Metazoa; Chordata; Mammalia; Rodentia; Heteromyidae. The record is from Rfam by way of RNAcentral.